RNAcentral lists this ribosomal RNA (254 nucleotides) under uncultured bacterium. RNAcentral describes it as "partial 16S ribosomal RNA". It matches the Rfam family "Bacterial small subunit ribosomal RNA", at positions 524 to 776 of the family's 1533-position model. The record is from RNAcentral.
UACGGGGGGAGCAAGCGUUGUUCGGAUUUACUGGGCGUAAAGGGCGCGUAGGCGGCCUCUGCAAGUCGGGUGUGAAAGCCCUCAGCUCAACUGAGGAAGUGCGCCCGAAACUGCAGAGCUUGAGUGCCGGAGAGGGUGGCGGAAUUCCCCAAGUAGAGGUGAAAUUCGUAGAUAUGGGGAGGAACACCGGUGGCGAAGGCGGCCACCUGGACGGUAACUGACGCUGAGACGCGAAAGCGUGGGGAGCAAACAGG